UCUCCUGCUACGACUCCGUGAGGAGGGCGAGUACACUGUGGAGACCGCUGGCGCUAAGUCAGAGGAAGGAUUGGUCGACGGUAGGUCAGUAUGCCCCGAAUAUCCCGGGCUACACGCGGGCUACAAUGGAUAGGACAAUGGGUAACCACACCGAAAGGUGGCGUCAAUCUCUUAAACCUAUCCGUAGUUCGGAUUGAGGGCUGGAACUCGCCCUCAUGAAGAUGGAAUCCGUAGUAAUCGCAUUUCAAAACAGUGCGGUGAAUACGUCCCUGCUCCUUGCACAAAAA
RNAcentral lists this ribosomal RNA (287 nucleotides) under uncultured archaeon. RNAcentral's name for it is "partial 16S ribosomal RNA". It matches the Rfam family "Archaeal small subunit ribosomal RNA", at positions 1057 to 1343 of the family's 1478-position model. The record is from RNAcentral.